Molecule: ribosomal RNA, 253 nt
Filed under: uncultured bacterium
Lineage: Bacteria
Description: partial 16S ribosomal RNA
Rfam family: Bacterial small subunit ribosomal RNA
Source: RNAcentral
UACGUAGGGACCAAGCGUUGUUCGGAUUUACUGGGCGUAAAGGGCGCGUAGGCGGCGUGUUAAGUCAGCUGUGAAAUCUCCAAGCUUAACUUGGAACGGUCAGCUGAUACUGAUGUGCUGGAGUGCAGAAGGGGCAAUCGGAAUUCUUGGUGUAGCGGUGAAAUGCGUAGAUAUCAAGAGGAACACCUGAGGUGAAGACGGGUUGCUGGGCUGACACUGACGCUGAGGCGCGAAAGCUAGGGUAGCAAACGGG